Molecule: ribosomal RNA, 553 nt
Filed under: Fusarium oxysporum
Lineage: Eukaryota; Fungi; Ascomycota; Sordariomycetes; Hypocreales; Nectriaceae
Description: eukaryotic LSU rRNA
Rfam family: 5.8S ribosomal RNA (bases 218-371)
Source: RNAcentral
UCUUGGUCCAAUAGAGGAAGUAAAAGUCGUAACAAGGUCUCCGUUGGUGAACCAGCGGAGGGAUCAUUACCGAGUUUACAACUCCCAAACCCCUGUGAACAUACCACUUGUUGCCUCGGCGGAUCAGCCCGCUCCCGGUAAAACGGGACGGCCCGCCAGAGGACCCCUAAACUCUGUUUCUAUAUGUAACUUCUGAGUAAAACCAUAAAUAAAUCAAAACUUUCAACAACGGAUCUCUUGGUUCUGGCAUCGAUGAAGAACGCAGCAAAAUGCGAUAAGUAAUGUGAAUUGCAGAAUUCAGUGAAUCAUCGAAUCUUUGAACGCACAUUGCGCCCGCCAGUAUUCUGGCGGGCAUGCCUGUUCGAGCGUCAUUUCAACCCUCAAGCACAGCUUGGUGUUGGGACUCGCGUUAAUUCGCGUUCCCCAAAUUGAUUGGCGGUCACGUCGAGCUUCCAUAGCGUAGUAGUAAAACCCUCGUUACUGGUAAUCGUCGCGGCCACGCCGUUAAACCCCAACUUCUGAAUGUGACCUCGGAUCAGUAGAUGCCCGGCUG